GAGUAAAGUCGUAACAAGGUUUCCGUAGGUGAACCUGCGGAAGGAUCAUUAUUGAAAUAAAUCUGAUAGGUUGCUGCUGGUUCUCUAGGGAGCAUGUGCACACUUGUCAUCUUUGUAUCUUCACCUGUGCAUCUCUUGUAGACCUGAUUAUCUCUCUGAUUGCUUUUUAGCACUCAGGAUUGAGGAUUGACCUCUGUCUUUUCUUGCAUUUUCAGGUUUAUGUUUUUUCAUAUACUCUAAUGUAUGUUUAUAGAAUGUAAUCAAUGGGCCUUUUGUGCCUAUAAGUUUUUACAACUUUCAGCAACGGAUCUCUUGGCUCUCGCAUCGAUGAAGAACGCAGCGAAAUGCGAUAAGUAAUGUGAAUUGCAGAAUUCAGUGAAUCAUCGAAUCUUUGAACGCACCUUGCGCUCUUUGGUAUUCCGAAGAGCAUGCCUGUUUGAGUGUCAUUAAUAUAUCAACCUUCUUUGGUUGGAUGGUGGGUUUGCUGGCUUCUUGAGGUCAGCUCCCCUUAAAUGCAUUAGCGGACAACAUUUUGCCAACCGUUCAUUGGUGUGAUAAUUAUCUACGCUAUUGACGUGAAGCAAGGUUUAGCUUCUAACAGUCCAUUGAUUUGGACAAUUUUAUUAUUAAUGUGGCCUCAAAUCAGGAGGACUACCCGUCGACUA
This 665-nucleotide ribosomal RNA is filed under the name Calonarius prasinus. RNAcentral's name for it is "eukaryotic LSU rRNA". The stretch from base 293 to 446 matches the Rfam family "5.8S ribosomal RNA". Lineage: Eukaryota; Fungi; Basidiomycota; Agaricomycetes; Agaricales; Cortinariaceae. The record is from RNAcentral.